RNAcentral lists this long non-coding RNA (2436 nucleotides) under Nicotiana benthamiana. RNAcentral describes it as "long non-coding RNA (NBEN_LNC035486)". The record is from RNAcentral. Lineage: Eukaryota; Viridiplantae; Streptophyta; Magnoliopsida; Solanales; Solanaceae.
CAAGAUACCUAAAUCAGGCUAAAUUCCUAAUAAUAUGUAAUUAACAAGUUCCAGAUCCAGAUUUCCAAAGCCUUUUCUUUAUCCAAAGUGUUUCAAAGUUCCAAGGAAUCUCAAAGGUUCCUGACAUUGCUUACACUCAGGAUACUAUUUUAGAAUUAGAAUAGUUCAGUGUGGAAUAGCCAACCCUCAUGCAUCCAUGUUUAGUACGAGCUCCAUGGUCCCAAAGCCUGGCUUUCAAGAGAGGAUAAGAACUUAGAACUAGGAAUAAGUGCAAAGUGAUUGGGGAACCAUAACAAAUGGUGGUCAUGCGCAGCCACAAGUGCAGGCUGGCACACCCUUGAUCACUUGUUUAGGUUAAACAAGUUAGUAGCUGACCUUGAAGGUCAAACCUAAGUCUGGAUAGUGAUCAGAACACUAUCAGACCUAAGUCAAGGCUCAAACAGAAAAUAGGGGAAAAGGGAAGUGGGUAUUGAUUGAGUUAAGGAGUUCAAAGAACCCAGUUCAGGGCCAUAGACAGCAGUAGUGCUGCUAUAGCUAGAACUACAACUCAUAUACAAAAGGGAAAAGGGAAAGGGAGUUCACAUAAGGAAAGCACAACAAGAUUGCAUAAACAUAGUAAAAAAAACAUAGCAAACUAGAAAGUAAACACAUUGUGAAGAAGCAUUAUAUAACUAAGAAUAACGUACCAGCUACACAGUAAGAACAAGCUAAACAAUAGAGCAAUCAUGGCAAGUAAACACAGCAGGAGUAGACUUAAGUUCAGCAUAACACUUGAGAGUUUAGAGAGAGCUAAAAAUUGUUUCAGAAAGCACAAAGUAGAGAAGAGGGUAGAUUUUUUUGUGAAAGAACUCAGUAUUCAAGUGUGUAAAAGCCUAUGUUUUUGUGCAGAAAAGUCUGUGAAAAUCUUGUCCUUUAGUGCAAAAGGGCUUGCCUUUUUAUAGUGCUGAAGAUGAGUAAGAACAUGGUAAGAGAAUAGCUUUUGAAAUCAAUCACAAGUUGUUUCCCUUUGGCUAAGGAAUUUGGUUCAAACGGGCAAAAUAAAUAAGGAAAGGAUUAGUUUUAAAAUCUUUUCAAAAGUAGUGUAAUAGGGAAAUACACAUAUUUUUAUUUAAGGAAAUAUUCUAGUAGCACACGGUUUGGGAGGAACAAGGAAAGACAAUCAAUCAACAGCCAGUAAAAUCAUGAUUCAAAUCUUAGUGUGAAUGAAUCCAACCACAAAAAUGUGAGAAGAGGUUUAAUUUAAAGAAAAUAAAAAACAAACAAUCAAAUUUGGAAUUAAUCACAAGUUGGCCAAAUGCCUUUUGAAAGAAGAGAGUUUGUCGUAUAAUAAGCAUACAGACAUGGGAUACAAGAGAGAGAGUUGUCGUAAAACUAGAAAGAAAUUAAGGUAACCAAGAAAGUUAGGUUCAUAGACUCAGAAUGAGUCUGAGAGAGAGUCAAUGGUUCUGAAUGGAACCCUAGUCCACACACAACAUCAACCUCAACCAAAAUCCCCUCAAACACUAGGUUUUCUAACUCGAAUCAGAUGCUAAGAUGAGAAAACAAUAAAAAUAACAGGUUCAGUAGUCUCUUUCAAAGACUCAUGAGAAAACAAACAGAGAGAAUAACAAGUUUAAAACAUAGGGGAAUAUACUUAGGCAAAGCUUGUCACUCAAACAAGCUCAGAAAAGAAAAAGUGAUACAGGUUUAGGAAAAUAGUAUAUGAAACAUGUGUAGGGUUGAAACAAAGUCCAGUAAUGGAAAGCAAGGAGCAAAAGCUUAGUAAUAAUAAAGUACAGGGACAUACGAAAUAGACAUGUAAAGCACGUUUAUAGAACUCAGUAGGGAAGAAAAGAACAAAAAAAAUAGAAGAACAUGCAUCAUAUGGAAAACAUAAGAACACAAGAGAAAAACUCAUAAGAACAUGGUACAGACAGAUUCACACAAAGAAAAGAAGAAGAAAAGGUGUCAGAAUUUAUUUUGAGAUUUUUUGAAAACUCUAAAUUGAAAGCAAACUGAUUUUGAAAAGAAAAUUGGGGAAAAGCUUUAAAACGUUAAAUAUAGCACAAAUUCACCACAUAUCUAAGUGAAUAAAAAGGGAAGGAACCUCAAAUAGCUUUAGGGUUUCUCUGAAACCCUAGAUAUGAGAAGGCUCGGAAGAGGUCUGGUCUUAAGUCAGAGAUGGCCAUGGCUAGGCUUCUAAAGCUCGAAUACAUUGAAGCAAGGCUGGAGAGGCCAUAGAACAACACAUCUGAGAAUAUCUGAACAAACACCAUCAAGGUCAGACCUCAAAAUCUCAAUCACCCAUGGCUUAGGAGUGAAGGAAGGUGAGCACAGGUUAUUCACGACCUAAAAAUCCGCGGACUCCGGCGAGAUAAUGAGUGGAGAAGACGAGGUAGGAGAUUAGGGUUUGGUGUGUUUGAGAGAGUUUUGAGAGAGAAGAGAGUUUGAAGUCAG